CAGCGUGGAGCGCACUUCAGCUCCUUUGUCCCCCUCUCUCUGUACCUCCCCCACACAUGCUCUCAAAAGAAGACAUUUAAAAAAUAAUUAAAUAAAUUGACCGACAUCUUCCUUUCAUCUCGUUUUAGUCCCACAGAUUUGUCUUCAGAAUAUGACUGUUUAGAUGUCCUAACAAGCUUAUUACAAUAUCUCACAUUACAAAUUACAAAAUUUCAAUCCUUUCUAUUGUUGUUACUGUCAUGUUAGAUGAAUUCCAUUUAAACAUCUCUCAGUUAAAUUUUAGUACUUUUAUGUGUUAAUUUGGUUCACACCUUCCCAGUUGACACUCUACCCUGCAUUAUUAGCCUUUCUUCAAGAUCACAGUAAAAUCAAUCAGAUUGACUUCACUGGCUUUGGUGUCCCCCAUAUUCGGUGCCUUUAUAGAUAUUUACAGAUAGCUUCAUGUUUCCCUGAUUUGAAGUCAGAAAAAACUUAAUUCUAUUUCUUGUUGGAUAUUAUCUCAAAUGUAUUGCGUGUUCAUUUAGACUUUUAGACUUCUCUGUGAAACAGCUUUCUCUUCCCCACCAUUGUCUUAAACCCUUUUGGUGCAAAAGUUCAUUUCCAUCUUCUCGCAUGACUUAUUUUUAUCCUAGUAGAGUGGGAAGGGCUAAAUUCAAAUAGCAGAUCUGGUACUUGCUUGCUUUGUAACCUGAGAAUUACAGACAAAUACAUGGAGCUUAGGAUAGGGUCUGGUUAGGUAGUAAGGACUUAUAAAUGGUAGCUUUUAAUAAUAUUUUUCUUGUAGCCAAUUGUGACCAUAACCGUGCCAAAACCCAGCUAAAGUAGCCUUGAAUUAACCACAUCUUUUUUCUCCCCUACAUUGUCUCAGUUCUGAGGUACUUUGUUCACACUUAAGUUUACAUGUUGCUUUGUACCUUCUCUCCAAAAGCAGGUUGUAAUAUCCAUUUGUAUCUCUUUCUUCCCCCCCAGGUACCGAAUAUAAUGCAUUGAAUAUAAUGCAUUGCGUGCACAGUAGGCAUUCAGUAAAGGAUGGUGAUUGGCAAGGAAAAUAGCCGUGUAGUUUUCUGAAAUUUACAAGAGGGGAAAAGACAGUUUUAAAAAACAUCCUGAAAAAAUAUUGUCUGCAAUAUUGCAAUAAAUUACUUCAAUGGCAAAAGAAACAUUCUGAGAACACCGUGGUCUUCAAAAGUUGAUACGGUGGAAGCAUAGCUCCAGGAGCUCUCUGAAGGCCUCCAUUAACGGAAGGUAGACCCUUAACAGAGUGGACAGAGCCCUCCCGGAACAGAUUGCUGGGCUGGAGAGCAGAGACGUGAGUUGUGAGUUCUGCUCUCGGUUGUUAAAACACAAACUUCCCAUCUUGGUCCUAAAGUCCUUCACUGUUCAUCCUUCAGAACUCCCGUGUCCUUGGUCAAUGAGGGAAAACCAUUUUUAAAUUAACUUUGACUUAACCAGGUGUUAUUUCAACAUAAACUCUGUAAAUGUUUAAUGAGUACGUAAGAAGGUGUAACAACUGCCUUUGUAAACUGGUGUUUCUAAAAUUUGAGGUUCUGUUUAAAUCAUUUACUUUUCUUAUAAAAAAAUAGAAAACUUCUAAAUAAAUAGAAAAUUUUA
This is a long non-coding RNA of Herpailurus yagouaroundi (jaguarundi), 1611 nucleotides long. RefSeq lists it as uncharacterized. The record is from RefSeq and is a predicted model, not a curated record. The transcript is spliced from 2 exons. NCBI's taxonomy places the organism in Eukaryota, Metazoa, Chordata, Mammalia, Carnivora, Felidae.